AACAUCCGACAGGGGAGCGCCUGAGACGGCGCUGAGAGUGCGGCUGGGAAUCCGGUUCCCAGGCCGCAGACCCUCGAACCUGAUCCGGGUCAUACCGGCGUAGGGAGUCAGCAUGAACAGCAC
Molecule: non-coding RNA, 123 nt
Filed under: Actinacidiphila rubida
Lineage: Bacteria; Bacillati; Actinomycetota; Actinomycetes; Kitasatosporales; Streptomycetaceae
Description: Streptomyces rubidus TPP sequence
Rfam family: TPP riboswitch aptamer (THI element)
About the family: Vitamin B(1) in its active form thiamin pyrophosphate (TPP) is an essential coenzyme that is synthesised by coupling of pyrimidine and thiazole moieties in bacteria. The previously detected thiamin-regulatory element, thi box was extended, resulting in a new, highly conserved RNA secondary structure, the THI element, which is widely distributed in eubacteria and also occurs in some archaea.
Source: Rfam by way of RNAcentral